AAAGCUAAUAAGGAAAAGUGCAUCAUUUUUUCUGCCAAAAAUCCCGCUCUCAUGGAGAACCUCUCUCACUCUAUUAUUCACCGGUAAAACCUUCCUUUCCAUUUGCUAUAAAGAUUCUCCCUCCACACGUAUUCAUGAUGACUUGACUUCAAAAACCCAUAUAUCAUCUUCUUCCUUUCUACCCACAUACAGAUCUCUUUGCACAAAAAAUAAAUUAUAACCAUUUAUCUCAUUCACAACAUAACCAUAACCUAUUAUCUUCCAUUUUCAACUCACUCACACAUAUAAAAAAAAAAUCAUAAGUUCCAACCUCCAUAUUCUAUUCUUCUCAAAUAUGAAACCAACCUCGUUAAAGCCAUAACUCUCAACACAUUCAUAAUCACACAACAACAACACUCAAAUAAAGAGAAGAAACAAAGAGAAAAAGAGACGGUCGAAGCGGAAAGAGAUCCACGUUUGUUUCCGACACCAUCGAGCCUCCAUGAAACUACUGGAAUACGCAUGUCGUAGCCGCCAUAUCCGUGCAUCACCACAUCUGGGUACGCCACCGUCUUUGUGUUCUCGGAUUCACUGCAUUAGGUAGUUCCACUUUCCUUGCUUUUCAUUUGCUUAUGUGUGUUGUUUUUGCAUUUGUUUGAUUCGUCCUAUUUAUAAGAAUUUUGUUAUUCAUGUGCAACAGAAUUUGGCGAGAGAGAGUAAAUCGAAACAAUGAGUGAGAAAGAAGGAGGGGGCAGACCGCCACCCUUGCAUGUUUAUUAUGUAUACCUAAAAUGUUUGUGAUACAACCCAAACUUCUCUUAUACUAGUUAUUAAUUUAUCAUGGUUAUUUCAUUAUAUUUUUUAUAGUUUAUAUGUGUAUCAUUUGACUAUAUCACUUCUUUCGGUAGUA
Molecule: long non-coding RNA, 889 nt
Filed under: Lathyrus oleraceus (garden pea)
Lineage: Eukaryota; Viridiplantae; Streptophyta; Magnoliopsida; Fabales; Fabaceae
Description: Pisum sativum (pea) long non-coding RNA (PSAT_LNC011156)
Source: RNAcentral